CCCCACUAGUCUGGGAUACCACUUGGAAACAGGUGCUAAUACCGGAUAGAAAGCGGAUCGCAUGAUCAGCUUUUAAAAGGCGGCGUAAGCUGUCGCUAUGGGAUGGCCCCGCGGUGCAUUAGCUAGUUGGUAAGGUAAAGGCUUACCAACGGCGAUGAUGCAUAGCCGAGUUGAGAGACUGAUCGGCCACAUUGGGACUGAGACACGGCCCAAACUCCUACGGGAGGCAGCAGCC
Molecule: ribosomal RNA, 235 nt
Filed under: uncultured Lactobacillus sp.
Lineage: Bacteria; Bacillati; Bacillota; Bacilli; Lactobacillales; Lactobacillaceae
Description: partial 16S ribosomal RNA
Rfam family: Bacterial small subunit ribosomal RNA
Source: RNAcentral